UUAAGCGACUAAGCGUACACGGUGGAUGCCCUGGCAGUCAGAGGCGAUGAAGGACGUGCUAAUCUGCGAUAAGCGUCGGUGAGGUGAUAUGAACCGUUAUAACCGGCGAUUUCCGAAUGGGGAAACCCAGUGUGUUUCGACACACUAUCAUUAACUGAAUCCAUAGGUUAAUGAGGCGAACCGGGGGAACUGAAACAUCUAAGUACCCCGAGGAAAAGAAAUCAACCGAGAUUCCCCCAGUAGCGGCGAGCGAACGGGGAGGAGCCCAGAGCCUGAAUCAGUGUGUGUGUUAGUGGAAGCGUCUGGAAAGGCGCGCGAUACAGGGUGACAGCCCCGUACACAAAAAUGCACAUACUGUGAGCUCGAUGAGUAGGGCGGGACACGUGGUAUCCUGUCUGAAUAUGGGGGGACCAUCCUCCAAGGCUAAAUACUCCUGACUGACCGAUAGUGAACCAGUACCGUGAGGGAAAGGCGAAAAGAACCCCGGCGAGGGGAGUGAAAAAGAACCUGAAACCGUGUACGUACAAGCAGUGGGAGCCUCUUAAUGGGGUGACUGCGUACCUUUUGUAUAAUGGGUCAGCGACUUAUAUUCUGUAGCAAGGUUAACCGAAUAGGGGAGCCGAAGGGAAACCGAGUCUUAACUGGGCGUUAAGUUGCAGGGUAUAGACCCGAAACCCGGUGAUCUAGCCAUGGGCAGGUUGAAGGUUGGGUAACACUAACUGGAGGACCGAACCGACUAAUGUUGAAAAAUUAGCGGAUGACUUGUGGCUGGGGGUGAAAGGCCAAUCAAACCGGGAGAUAGCUGGUUCUCCCCGAAAGCUAUUUAGGUAGCGCCUCGUGAAUUCAUCUCCGGGGGUAGAGCACUGUUUCGGCAAGGGGGUCAUCCCGACUUACCAACCCGAUGCAAACUGCGAAUACCGGAGAAUGUUAUCACGGGAGACACACGGCGGGUGCUAACGUCCGUCGUGAAGAGGGAAACAACCCAGACCGCCAGCUAAGGUCCCAAAGUCAUGGUUAAGUGGGAAACGAUGUGGGAAGGCCCAGACAGCCAGGAUGUUGGCUUAGAAGCAGCCAUCAUUUAAAGAAAGCGUAAUAGCUCACUGGUCGAGUCGGCCUGCGCGGAAGAUGUAACGGGGCUAAACCAUGCACCGAAGCUGCGGCAGCGACACUAUGUGUUGUUGGGUAGGGGAGCGUUCUGUAAGCCUGUGAAGGUGGCCUGUGAGGGUUGCUGGAGGUAUCAGAAGUGCGAAUGCUGACAUAAGUAACGAUAAAGCGGGUGAAAAGCCCGCUCGCCGGAAGACCAAGGGUUCCUGUCCAACGUUAAUCGGGGCAGGGUGAGUCGACCCCUAAGGCGAGGCCGAAAGGCGUAGUCGAUGGGAAACAGGUUAAUAUUCCUGUACUUGGUGUUACUGCGAAGGGGGGGACGGAGAAGGCUAUGUUGGCCGGGCGACGGUUGUCCCGGUUUAAGCGUGUAGGCUGGUUUUCCAGGCAAAUCCGGAAAACCAAGGCUGAGGCGUGAUGACGAGGCACUACGGUGCUGAAGCGACAAAUGCCCUGCUUCCAGGAAAAGCCUCUAAGCAUCAGGUAACAUCAAAUCGUACCCCAAACCGACACAGGUGGUCAGGUAGAGAAUACCAAGGCGCUUGAGAGAACUCGGGUGAAGGAACUAGGCAAAAUGGUGCCGUAACUUCGGGAGAAGGCACGCUGAUAUGUAGGUGAAGCGACUUGCUCGUGGAGCUGAAAUCAGUCGAAGAUACCAGCUGGCUGCAACUGUUUAUUAAAAACACAGCACUGUGCAAACACGAAAGUGGACGUAUACGGUGUGACGCCUGCCCGGUGCCGGAAGGUUAAUUGAUGGGGUUAGCGGCAACGCGAAGCUCUUGAUCGAAGCCCCGGUAAACGGCGGCCGUAACUAUAACGGUCCUAAGGUAGCGAAAUUCCUUGUCGGGUAAGUUCCGACCUGCACGAAUGGCGUAAUGAUGGCCAGGCUGUCUCCACCCGAGACUCAGUGAAAUUGAACUCGCUGUGAAGAUGCAGUGUACCCGCGGCAAGACGGAAAGACCCCGUGAACCUUUACUAUAGCUUGACACUGAACAUUGAGCCUUGAUGUGUAGGAUAGGUGGGAGGCUUUGAAGUGUGGACGCCAGUCUGCAUGGAGCCGACCUUGAAAUACCACCCUUUAAUGUUUGAUGUUCUAACGUUGGCCCGUAAUCCGGGUUACGGACAGUGUCUGGUGGGUAGUUUGACUGGGGCGGUCUCCUCCUAAAGAGUAACGGAGGAGCACGAAGGUUGGCUAAUCCUGGUCGGACAUCAGGAGGUUAGUGCAAUGGCAUAAGCCAGCUUGACUGCGAGCGUGACGGCGCGAGCAGGUGCGAAAGCAGGUCAUAGUGAUCCGGUGGUUCUGAAUGGAAGGGCCAUCGCUCAACGGAUAAAAGGUACUCCGGGGAUAACAGGCUGAUACCGCCCAAGAGUUCAUAUCGACGGCGGUGUUUGGCACCUCGAUGUCGGCUCAUCACAUCCUGGGGCUGAAGUAGGUCCCAAGGGUAUGGCUGUUCGCCAUUUAAAGUGGUACGCGAGCUGGGUUUAGAACGUCGUGAGACAGUUCGGUCCCUAUCUGCCGUGGGCGCUGGAGAACUGAGGGGGGCUGCUCCUAGUACGAGAGGACCGGAGUGGACGCAUCACUGGUGUUCGGGUUGUCAUGCCAAUGGCACUGCCCGGUAGCUAAAUGCGGAAGAGAUAAGUGCUGAAAGCAUCUAAGCACGAAACUUGCCCCGAGAUGAGUUCUCCCUGAGACUUAGAGUCUCCUGAAGGAACGUUGAAGACGACGACGUUGAUAGGCCGGGUGUGUAAGCGCAGCGAUGCGUUGAGCUAACCGGUACUAAUGAACCGUGAGGCUUAACCUU
This 2903-nucleotide ribosomal RNA is filed under the name Escherichia coli. RNAcentral's name for it is "bacterial LSU rRNA". It matches the Rfam family "Bacterial large subunit ribosomal RNA". Lineage: Bacteria; Pseudomonadati; Pseudomonadota; Gammaproteobacteria; Enterobacterales; Enterobacteriaceae. The record is from RNAcentral.